UACGUAGGGACCAAGCGUUGUUCGGAUUUACUGGGCGUAAAGGGCGCGUAGGCGGCGUGGUAAGUCACUUGUGAAAUCUCUGAGCUUAACUCAGAACGGCCAAGUGAUACUGCUGUGCUAGAGUGCAGAAGGGGCAAUCGGAAUUCUUGGUGUAGCGGUGAAAUGCGUAGAUAUCAAGAGGAACGCCUGAGGUGAAGACGGGUUGCUGGGCUGACACUGACGCUGAGGCGCGAAAGCCAGGGGAGCAAACGGG
Molecule: ribosomal RNA, 253 nt
Filed under: uncultured bacterium
Lineage: Bacteria
Description: partial 16S ribosomal RNA
Rfam family: Bacterial small subunit ribosomal RNA
Source: RNAcentral